This 164-nucleotide ribosomal RNA is filed under the name uncultured bacterium. Its description in RNAcentral is "partial 16S rRNA". It matches the Rfam family "Bacterial small subunit ribosomal RNA", at positions 355 to 511 of the family's 1533-position model. The record is from RNAcentral.
UAGGGAAUCUUCCACAAUGGGCGCAAGCCUGAUGGAGCAACACCGCGUGAGUGAAGAAGGGCUUCGGCUCGUAAAGCUCUGUUGUUAGAGAAGAACGUGCGUGAGAGUAACUGUUCACGCAGUGACGGUAUCUAACCAGAAAGUCACGGCUAACUACGUCCCAG